RNAcentral lists this transfer RNA (73 nucleotides) under Felis catus (domestic cat). It matches the Rfam family "tRNA". From Rfam's summary of the family: Transfer RNA (tRNA) molecules are approximately 80 nucleotides in length. Their secondary structure includes four short double-helical elements and three loops (D, anti-codon, and T loops). The record is from Rfam by way of RNAcentral. Lineage: Eukaryota; Metazoa; Chordata; Mammalia; Carnivora; Felidae. RNAcentral also lists the same sequence under 3 other names.
GCCUGGCUGGCUCAGUCAGAGGAGUGUGCGACUCUUGAUCUCGGGGUCAUGGGUUCGAGCCCCAUGUUGGGUG